Molecule: non-coding RNA, 807 nt
Organism: Malus domestica (apple)
Lineage: Eukaryota; Viridiplantae; Streptophyta; Magnoliopsida; Rosales; Rosaceae
Source: RefSeq, a predicted model, not a curated record
AAGGACCACACCCUAGUGGUCAUCAGACCCUCUACAACAAUGCAUGCAUAAGUUCAGAGCAUAAGUAAAGUGGUGCAAACCAGGGGCGGAUCCACAGUGGGGUCAUUGGGGUCACACGACCCCUUGGAAGCCAUGGAAAUAACCUUGGAGCUGCUGGUGCGACCUCUUGGAGCUGCCGGUGCGACCUCUUGGAGCUGCACACCACGUGAUCGACGAAAUGUCUGAAAGAAGAGGAAAGAGUUCGCCUGCCUUCACCGCGCUCUCCGUGCUCUUCGGAUAAAGAAAGUGAAGCUGAUUUGGGAGUGAGGCCUCGGCAGAAGGAUGACCUUCAUGCGACAAGGAAAUCACACAGUUCAUGCAAUUCCGAAAAAUAUCAGGUAGAGAUGUGCACGCCGAAGGUCUGUAAUGGUAAUUGCGCAUCGUCAUUUCAUCCGCCCCUGUGCAGCAGUGCGCAAUGGAAGAGAAAUCCUUUUUCAGGUGUCUUCUUCUUCAGGGGUCUGACUUCUCCAAAAUAAUUUCAUGGCAAGCAGCUAGCUUUCAGCAUAGAACCUGCUAUAAACACGUUUGUAUAAGAUUACAUUGAUGCUGAUUAGUUGUGGUAUUUUUGGUAUCAUACUGUUCGUACUUGCAAAGUUUGCAUUUUUUUUCAAUUUGAGAUCUAAGAUUACAUUGAUGCUGAUUAGUUGUGGUAUUUUUGGUUGUCAGGGAAAGUGAAGGCACCUUUCAGUAUGGUAACUAUCGGCGAGAGGCUGAUCACGCUAUCUUACCAAGACCCGAUGAAAUGACGAUAUGCAUGCCGUUUCUGUU